UACGGAGGGUGCAAGCGUUGCUCGGAAUUACUGGGCGUAAAGCGUACGCAAGCGGUCAAUUAAGUUAGAUGUGAAAGCCCAGAGCUUAACUUUGGAAUUGCAUCUAAAACUGGUUGACUAGAGUCUUGUAGAGGGGGGUAGAAUUCCAGGUGUAGCGGUGAAAUGCGUAGAGAUGGGGAGGAAUACCGGUGGCGAAGGCGGCCCCCUGGCUAUAGACUGACGCUCAGGUGCGAAAGCGUGGGGAGCAAACAGG
Molecule: ribosomal RNA, 253 nt
Filed under: uncultured bacterium
Lineage: Bacteria
Description: partial 16S ribosomal RNA
Rfam family: Bacterial small subunit ribosomal RNA
Source: RNAcentral